RNAcentral lists this ribosomal RNA (253 nucleotides) under uncultured bacterium. RNAcentral describes it as "partial 16S ribosomal RNA". It matches the Rfam family "Bacterial small subunit ribosomal RNA", at positions 524 to 776 of the family's 1533-position model. The record is from RNAcentral.
UACGAAGGGGGCUAGCGUUGUUCGGAUUUACUGGGCGUAAAGCGCACGUAGGCGGAUCUUUAAGUCAGAGGUGAAAUCCCAAGGCUCAACCUUGGAACUGCCUUUGAUACUGGGGAUCUUGAGUCCGGGAGAGGUGAGUGGAACUGCGAGUGUAGAGGUGAAAUUCGUAGAUAUUCGCAAGAACACCAGUGGCGAAGGCGGCUCACUGGCCCGGUACUGACGCUGAGGUGCGAAAACGUGGGGAGCAAACAGG